AUGGGUUUCCGUAUAACAAGUAUAAUCAGAAGAGCAUCAUUUUCAAGAACCCAAGGAUCUACCAAGGGAUUUGAAGUCCCUAAAGGCUAUCUCGCCGUCUAUGUUGGAGAUAAAAUGAGGCGUUUUGUGAUUCCAAUUUCAUACUUGAACCAAUCAUUGUUUCAAGAAUUAUUAAACGAAGCUGAAGAAGAAUUUGGAUAUGAUCAUCCCAUGGGUGGUCUCACAAUUCCAUGCAGUGAAGAUGAAUUCCUAAACCUCACUUCACGCUUGAAUUGA
RNAcentral lists this long non-coding RNA (276 nucleotides) under Vicia faba (fava bean). The record is from RNAcentral. Lineage: Eukaryota; Viridiplantae; Streptophyta; Magnoliopsida; Fabales; Fabaceae.